CCUACGGGAGGCAGCAGUGAGGAAUAUUGGUCAAUGGACGAGAGUCUGAACCAGCCACGUCGCGUGAAGGAUGACUGCCCUAUGGGUUGUAAACUUCUUUUAUAUGGGAAUAAAACGUUCCACGUGUGGGAUUUUGUAUGUACCAGAUGAAUAAGUAUCGGCUAACUCCGUGCCAGCAGCCGCGGUAAUACGGAGGAUCCUUGCGUUAUCCGGAUUUAUUGGGUUUAAAGGGUGCGGAGGUGGAUUGUUAAGUCAGUUGUGAAAGUUGGCGGCUCAACCGUAAAAUUGCAGUUGAAACUGGCAGUCUUGAGUACAGUAGAGGUGGGCGGAAUUCGUGGUGUAGCGGUGAAAUGCGUAGAUAUCACGAAGAACUCCGAUUGCGAAGGCAGUUCACUGGACUGCAACUGACACUGAGGCUCGAAAGUGUGGGUAUCGAACAGGAUUAGAUACCCGGGUAGUC
Molecule: ribosomal RNA, 460 nt
Filed under: uncultured bacterium
Lineage: Bacteria
Description: partial 16S ribosomal RNA
Rfam family: Bacterial small subunit ribosomal RNA
Source: RNAcentral